UACGUAGGGUGCGAGCGUUGUCCGGAAUUAUUGGGCGUAAAGAGCUUGUAGGCGGUUUGUCGCGUCUGCUGUGAAAAUCCGGGGCUCAACCCCGGACUUGCAGUGGGUACGGGCAGACUAGAGUGUGGUAGGGGAGACUGGAAUUCCUGGUGUAGCGGUGAAAUGCGCAGAUAUCAGGAGGAACACCGAUGGCGAAGGCAGGGUCUCUGGGCCGAUACUGACGCUGAGGAGCGAAAGCAUGGGUAGCGAACAGG
Molecule: ribosomal RNA, 254 nt
Filed under: uncultured bacterium
Lineage: Bacteria
Description: partial 16S ribosomal RNA
Rfam family: Bacterial small subunit ribosomal RNA
Source: RNAcentral